This 422-nucleotide ribosomal RNA is filed under the name uncultured eukaryote. Its description in RNAcentral is "bacterial SSU rRNA". It matches the Rfam family "Eukaryotic small subunit ribosomal RNA", at positions 592 to 1017 of the family's 1831-position model. The record is from RNAcentral.
CAAUAGCGUAUAUUAAAAUUGUUGCGGUUAAAACGCUCGUAGUUGGAUAUCUGUGAGCGGGUUCCGGUCCUUCCCAGUGAAGAUUACACGGAACUCUGCUCGCAUUUGUUCAGGGAGGGUGGAUGCACUUCACUGUGUGACCACAUGAUCUGAAUUUUUACUUUGAGGAAAUGAGAGUGUUCCAAGCAGGCAAUUGCCGUGAAUAUGAUAGCAUGGAAUAAUAGCACAGGACUCUUGGUUCAAUGCUGUUGGUUUGUUGAACUAGAGUAAUCACAAUAAGGAUAGUUGGAGGUGCUAGUAUUGGCCGGCCAGAGGUGAAAUUCUUGGAUUCGGUCAAGACUAACUUAUGCGAAAGCAUUCACCAAGGAUGUCUUCUUUUAAUCAAGAACGAAAGUUGGGGGAUCGAAGAUGAUCAGAUACCG